GAGUUUGAUCCUGGCUCAGAAUCAACGCUGGCGACGUGCCUAACACAUGCAAGUCGCACGAGAAAGGGGCUUCGGCCCUGAGUAAAGUGGCGCACGGGUGAGUAACACGUGACUAACCUACCCUCGAGUGGGGAAUAACCUAGAGAAAUCUGGGCUAAUACCGCAUAACACUUACGAGUCAAAGCAGCAAUGCGCUUGAGGAGGGUCGCGGCAGAUUAGUUAGUUGGCAGGGUAAUGGCCUACCAAGACAAUGAUCUGUAUCCGGCCUGAGAGGGCGCACGGACACACUGGAACUGAAACACGGUCCAGACUCCUACGGGAGGCAGCAGUGGGGAAUUUUGCGCAAUGGGGGAAACCCUGACGCAGCAACGCCGCGUGGAGGAUGAAAUCCCUUGGGAUGUAAACUCCUUUCGAUAGGGAAGAUAAUGACGGUACCUAUAGAAGAAGCCCCGGCUAACUUCGUGCCAGCAGCCGCGGUAAUACG
RNAcentral lists this ribosomal RNA (484 nucleotides) under uncultured eubacterium WR8155. RNAcentral's name for it is "bacterial SSU rRNA". It matches the Rfam family "Bacterial small subunit ribosomal RNA", at positions 9 to 527 of the family's 1533-position model. The record is from RNAcentral.